Molecule: unclassified non-coding RNA, 525 nt
Filed under: Clonostachys rosea f. rosea
Lineage: Eukaryota; Fungi; Ascomycota; Sordariomycetes; Hypocreales; Bionectriaceae
Description: sequence contains ITS1, 5.8S rRNA gene, ITS2
Rfam family: 5.8S ribosomal RNA (bases 144-297)
Source: RNAcentral
CCCAAACCCAUGUGAACAUACCUACUGUUGCUUCGGCGGGAUUGCCCCGGGCGCCUCGUGUGCCCCGGACCAGGCGCCCGCCUAGGAAACUUAAUUCUUGUUUUAUUUUGGAAUCUUCUGAGUAGUUUUUACAAAUAAAUAAAAACUUUCAACAACGGAUCUCUUGGUUCUGGCAUCGAUGAAGAACGCAGCGAAAUGCGAUAAGUAAUGUGAAUUGCAGAAUUCAGUGAAUCAUCGAAUCUUUGAACGCACAUUGCGCCCGCCAGUAUUCUGGCGGGCAUGCCUGUCUGAGCGUCAUUUCAACCCUCAUGCCCCUAGGGCGUGGUGUUGGGGAUCGGCCAAAGCCCGCGAGGGACGGCCGGCCCCUAAAUCUAGUGGCGGACCCGUCGUGGCCUCCUCUGCGAAGUAGUGAUAUUCCGCAUCGGAGAGCGACGAGCCCCUGCCGUUAAACCCCCAACUUUCCAAGGUUGACCUCAGAUCAGGUAGGAAUACCCGCUGAACUUAAGCAUAUCAAUAAGCGGAGGA